UUUUAUUUUGGUCUGUUGGUAUGACGUCAUAAGUCUGCGCUGCAUGUUGUGAUUCGGCUGAAGAAGAAAGGACGAACACACAGAAAAACUCCUGGUGAAGAUCCACGUGACACUAUUAUAAAGAUGGCGUAUAUUGAAGAGGAGAGUGAAGACUUCAAGAUUGAAGAAACAUUCAGUGUGAAACAAGAAGAAAAUGAGGAACACAAAGGACAAACACAGAAAAACUCCAGGG
This is a non-coding RNA of Pimephales promelas (fathead minnow), 232 nucleotides long. The record is from RefSeq and is a predicted model, not a curated record. NCBI's taxonomy places the organism in Eukaryota, Metazoa, Chordata, Actinopteri, Cypriniformes, Leuciscidae.